RNAcentral lists this ribosomal RNA (171 nucleotides) under Priestia endophytica. RNAcentral's name for it is "Bacillus endophyticus partial 16S ribosomal RNA". It matches the Rfam family "Bacterial small subunit ribosomal RNA", at positions 1 to 166 of the family's 1533-position model. Lineage: Bacteria; Bacillati; Bacillota; Bacilli; Caryophanales; Bacillaceae. The record is from RNAcentral.
UCUAUGGAGAGUUUGAUCCUGGCUCAGGACGAACGCUGGCGGCGUGCCUAAUACAUGCAAGUCGAGCGGAGUUUUGAAAAGCUUGCUUUUCAAAACUUAGCGGCGGACGGGUGAGUAACACGUGGGCAACCUGCCCUUGAGACGGGGAUAACUCCGGGAAACCGGAGCUAA